UUAUGGCAAGAAGUGGCCAAGCCAGCUGCUUCCUUUUUCUUUUUAUUUUAAAUGUUACGGUGGUUUUACCUCUUCCGGCUACAACUCUAGCAGGUCCGGCCACGGUGAUCACUGCUCCAAACCCGACGGGUUUUGCUUCUUCAAACGGGAAAGCAACUCAAGGCUCCCACAAACCGGCAAUUUUUCUUCAAGAGGAAAUGUCGCUCCUCAUCUUCUGGCCACGGUGAAAGCGGGUCUUCCCCGUUCGGCGGCAGUAACAGCAGAUCCUCCUCAUCCGGCGACAACAAUAGCUCUUCCCAUCUCUACAACGGCAGCAGCAGCUUCUAGAGACAAAACAGCAGCUGGUCUUCUUUUCUCCACGCCGGCGGUGGCAGCUCUUCUAAAGACCACGGCAGCAGGUCCUCCACAAGUAGGGCGCCAUCUCCAGCGGUCUUCACACCCAGAAACGUCAGCCAUUCAACCUCCAGCCACAGCGCGCCGGCGGCCAUGAACCCUCUCAGCUUAACGUCGUCGCUGUACCCAGCAGCUCCAAGCAUGACGGCAGCGGCAACCUCCUCGCCAGCAGCUACACAUCUCUCCCAAAUGAAGAAUCCGGAAGCUUCAGUAACAACAACAGCGACAACUCCCUCGGCAACUACAGGUGGUUCACCUCGGUCAGCGGCAGCAGGUCACUCGCCGCAGUAGCAUUGUGCAGGAUAAAAAGAAUGGCAUUGUUGACUCUUGAGAUCCUGCCUUUUUGAUAUCCACCUUUUGCAUGUCGCCAUCCAAGAGAAAUAUCAUGACAUGAAUUUAUAAGCUGUUUGUCAAGAGUUUGUGAAAGUGAAAGCGAAGUCUGCUUGCCGAUAAAAAUGAGAUAAGCUGGAGCUGUAGCAUUUCUUUUCAAAUUUUCAUCUAUCUCACUUGUCGCAUACUACUCAGAACCCCUCCACCAACUUUGAUACUAUUCAACAGUAUUUGUACAUCGAACUGAUUAAGUUGAUAAUUGUAAUACUUUAGUAUCUUUAAAAGUUGUUGGAUGAUGUUCCUUCUAUUUAUCUCAGACAUUUUUCUUA
This is a long non-coding RNA of Mercurialis annua (annual mercury), 1052 nucleotides long. RefSeq lists it as uncharacterized. The transcript has 2 exons. The record is from RefSeq and is a predicted model, not a curated record. Lineage: Eukaryota; Viridiplantae; Streptophyta; Magnoliopsida; Malpighiales; Euphorbiaceae.